AAACAAUUAACUUUUAGAACACCAAUUUGGAUCAUUGACUUCAAAUGGAUAAUGAGCUUAAACUAUUCUUGUUUUCGAUUCUUAAACCAAAAGUAUAUUAACAAGAAAGCAAAUACCAUCUACAACUGACGAUUUAAUAACCAUUAUAAACAAUAGUCCAACCAAUCCAAGUUGUUUUUAAUAGAAUAUUUAAAGCUAACUUACACAAAUCUAUAAACUUAUUCAUACUGCAGAAAUUUAUAUCCAGUCCAAUUUGUAAUUGAGGAUAGCUCUUCUCAAGUAAUUCUUUAUCUACUACAAAUUAGAAUCAGCAAACAAUUAUGAACAACUAGGCAACAACAUGCUCAAAUCUCCAUUCCAUUCCAAUUGCAAAGUGUGUACAAAGGAGUGUACCUGGUGUCGAAAAUACAAUAACAGGAAGGAGUGAGUAGUGGCAGUGGUGAAAACAAAGUAACAGCAACAAACAACAACCCAGAAAUAGAUUGGAAUCAGCAGAAAUCAGAAACAAUCCAGUUGCAACUUCAGAUAACCAAAACAACAACAACCCAAAUGCACCAGGAACCAGCAACAACCAGUGUUUAACAAUACCAAAUAACCCGUGUAGUUCUGAGUGUUAAUAGAACUCUAACAGAAAUAGUGAAAAAUUCAAAGAUACCAAUGAAACAGUACACUACAGUCCUGAUGUUCAACCGUGUAACAGAAGAGACCUAGCUUUUAUCUCUCAAACUACUCUUUUAGCUCUGGAAAAUUAGCUCAACUUUCAGCCUAUAUCCCUCUCUCAAGUUCUGAAAAUCUAAUCUCCAAAAUCCAUUCCCUCUCAAAAUUCAGUAUGUCUCUAUUUAUAAGUUAGAAUUGGACAUUAUUUUAUUCAAAGCUU
RNAcentral lists this long non-coding RNA (877 nucleotides) under Nicotiana benthamiana. RNAcentral describes it as "long non-coding RNA (NBEN_LNC007361)". Lineage: Eukaryota; Viridiplantae; Streptophyta; Magnoliopsida; Solanales; Solanaceae. The record is from RNAcentral.